GUAGUCCACGCCGUAAACGAUGUCUACUAGUCGUUGGGUCCCUUGAGGACUUAGUGACGCAGCUAACGCAAUAAGUAGACCGCCUGGGGAGUACGGCCGCAAGGUUAAAACUCAAAUGAAUUGACGGGGGCCCGCACAAGCGGUGGAGCAUGUGGUUUAAUUCGAUGCAACGCGAAGAACCUUACCUGGUCUUGACAUAUCUAGAAUCCUGCAGAGAUGCGGGAGUGCCUUCGGGAAUUAGAAUACAGGUGCUGCAUGGCUGUCGUCAGCUCGUGUCGUGAGAUGUUGGGUUAAGUCCCGCAACGAGCGCAACCCUUGUCAUUAGUUACCAGCGGUUUGGCCGGGAACUCUAAGGAUACUGCCAGUGACAAACUGGAGGAAGGCGGGGACGACGUCAAGUCAUCAUGGCCCUUACGACCAGGGCUACACACGUGCUACAAUGGUAGGUACAGAGGGCAGCUACACAGCGAUGUGAUGCGAAUCCCAAAAAGCCUAUCGUAGUCCAGAAUUGACUCCGCGACUCGACUCCAUGAAGUAG
Molecule: ribosomal RNA, 538 nt
Filed under: uncultured bacterium
Lineage: Bacteria
Description: bacterial SSU rRNA
Rfam family: Bacterial small subunit ribosomal RNA
Source: RNAcentral